AUUGAACGCUGGCGGCAGGCCUAACAUAUGCAAGUCGGACGGUAGCACAGAGGAGCUUGCUCCUUGGGUGACGAGUGGCGGACGGGUGAGUAAUGUCUGGGGAUCUGCCCGAUAGAGGGGGAUAACCACUGGAAACGGUGGCUAAUACCGCAUAACGUCGCAAGACCAAAGAGGGGGACCUUCGGGCCUCUCACUAUCGGAUGAACCCAGAUGGGAUUAGCUAGUAGGCGGGGUAAUGGCCCACCUAGGCGACGAUCCCUAGCUGGUCUGAGAGGAUGACCAGCCACACUGGAACUGAGACACGGUCCAGACUCCUACGGGAGGCAGCAGUGGGGAAUAUUGCACAAUGGGCGCAAGCCUGAAGCAGCCAUGCCGCGUGUAUGAAGAAGGCCUUCGGGUUGUAAAGUACUUUCAGCGGGGAGGAAGGCGAUGGGGUUAAUAACCUUAUCGAUUGACGUUACCCGCAGAAGAAGCACCGGCUAACUCCGUGCCAGCAGCCGCGGUAAUACGGAGGGUGCAAGCGUUAAUCGGAAUUACUGGGCGUAAAGCGCACGCAGGCGGUCUGUUAAGUCAGAUGUGAAAUCCCCGGGCUUAACCUGGGAACUGCAUUUGAAACUGGCAGGCUUGAGUCUUGUAGAGGGGGGUAGAAUUCCAGGUGUAGCGGUGAAUUGCGUAGAGAUCUGGAGGAAUACCGGUGGCGAAGGCGGCCCCCUGGACAAAGACUGACGCUCAGGUGCGAAAGCGUGGGAGCAAACAGGAUUAGAUACCCU
Molecule: ribosomal RNA, 770 nt
Filed under: Pantoea agglomerans
Lineage: Bacteria; Pseudomonadati; Pseudomonadota; Gammaproteobacteria; Enterobacterales; Erwiniaceae
Description: bacterial SSU rRNA
Rfam family: Bacterial small subunit ribosomal RNA
Source: RNAcentral